Molecule: ribosomal RNA, 473 nt
Filed under: uncultured bacterium
Lineage: Bacteria
Description: partial 16S ribosomal RNA
Rfam family: Bacterial small subunit ribosomal RNA
Source: RNAcentral
GACGAACGCUGGCGGCGUGCCUAAUACAUGCAAGUCGUGCGGAACCUUCGGGUUUAGCGGCGGACGGGUGAGUAACACGUGGGCAACCUGCCCGACAGACCGGGAUAACGCUUGGAAACGAGUGCUAAUACUGGAUACGCUCUUGAAUCGCAUGAUUCGAGAGGGAAAGCUGCUUUUGCAGCACUGUCGGAUGGGCCCGCGGCGCAUUAGCUAGUUGGUGAGGUAACGGCUCACCAAGGCGACGAUGCGUAGCCGACCUGAGAGGGUGACCGGACACACUGGGACUGAGACCCGGCCCAGACUCCUACGGGAGGCAGCAGUAGGGAAGCUUCCGCAAUGGGCGCAAGCCUGACGGAGCAACGCCGCGUGAGUGAUGAAGGCCUUCGGGUUGUAAAACUCUGUCUUCUGUGAAGAAUAAGCCUAUGAACAGAACGCUUAGGCCCUGACGGUAACAGAGGAGGAAGCCCCGGCUA